GCCACGCCGAGAUCUCCGGUUUACCCCGAGACCAACAAAGUCAUAUUGGGUUUUUCUUAAUAUCACAUCCCGCACCUGGAACAACAGGCUUAACCUCUAUUACAGAGCCGAUAAAAUGUUUGUUAGACCUCUGCCCCAAACCGUUGAGAAGGGAAGUCAUGAUGCAUUAUUAUAACAUGACAUUGUAACGUUCGCAGAGCAUAGAACAACGUAUCGUAGAGGAAUACAGGCGCGUGAACAACGACACCGCGUACCAGCAGCAGAGGCGGCGCGUCAACUACCUAGACCGCAAACUCACGCACAUCAAGCGGAUGGUGUACCAAUACGAUCAGUUGCGCAACCUGAAGCCGGAGCGCGUGGCGGCGGCGAGCACGACGCAGGCGUACUGACACGCGGGCCGCUCGCCGCCCGCCCGCAGCCUGUAGAGCACCACGCCGGACACAUGCAUCGACACAAUAUGAUGGACGAUUUACAUACUUACCAACGUAAGCUCUAUAGUUUUUAUACGAGUCAGUGUCUCCCGUUGAGUGACAGAUGUUGAUCGAUUUUUUAUACGGACGUAAUUAGGCCUUUGGAAGUAGUCUUCGAUGGUUCUGUCAAAGCCGCGCUGACUGUUAUUGUUACAUGGAUGCGGAAUGUGGCCGAACGUUCUGUUCGACAUUCUGUGCGAAGUGCGCGCCGUUCCGAAUAACUUAUGUGCAUUAUGGUGAUAUAAAUGUUCUAAAAUAUAUUUGUAAUCGUAACGCUGUGAAGUUAACGCUACUUAUUAUUCGGGGCGGUGACGUAGAUACUUUGUUUAGUUGGAAAGAACGUUCCGCAAACAUAAUAUUAUAUGUACUAAAAGCCGGUUCGCGGGUUGUGUUGACGUGUGCGUUGUAAAUUGUUAUAAAAUAAAUAAUUUAUUAUUGAAUGCGGAAACGUGAUGUCGCGCGUUGUUUACAUGCGCGGAUGUUUUCGCUGUUUCUUGCUACGUCACGUGUGGGUGACAUUGUUGCGCCGGCGCGGCACGUCGCUGCGGAGCCGGAAGCGUCGGAUGUUAAUGAACUUCAAAAUAUUACCCUCUAGACACGCGAUGCACACAGGGCGGCCUGCCAACUUGGCUUCUCACAACUAGAUUGUACAUCAUGGUUAAGGUGAUUGUUCUGUAUUAGUCAUUCAAAUAGAUAAGAGAAUAAAUUAUGUUACAUAGAUUGUCUAUAUUAAGUUAUAUUGUUCUUCCAUUAAUUUUAACAAUGAUCCUUAACCAUACGAUAUGUGACCACGCGCGUGUAUCGCCAUUCCGGACAUGAGAACCCAUACUGGUUAAAAAUAUUUUUCACUGUUGAUUAUAUUGAUGAAUAUAUUGUGUAUUGUAUUCGCCUGUUUCUACCUUGUACUUGUUUCUUUCUGUUGUACAAUAUCAUUAAUUCAUAUCUAUACAAAUGGUGUUUGAAUGAACCAAUUUUAUAUGAAAGAAGCAAGACAGGUGUUAUAGUUGUACUUCGCUAUCGGGCUGAUUGAGUCGCGCUGACCGAUAAGGAGUCAUGUGACCCUCGGCCGGUGUACUGUACGCAGUACAUUGUACACGCAGUCGACGCUCGAUAGUGGAGUUUCGAGUUUAAUGUCAUUGUUUGUCAUUGCCAUCGGACGCCGUUACAUCACCGUCUCGGCAGUCGGUGACAAUGACGAACGAACGUUACACUAUAGAUCAAUAUUCUAUAUUUCUUAUCGAAACUUUAAUUAGUCCGGUUGUUUUAUCAUGUAAAUAGUAUAUUAUGUAUAUUGAAAAGAAAAAGUUAUCAAGUAUAUAAUAGUCCAAUAGUAGAUACAUAUAUGUUCGUCCACAUUAUAUUCCAUUCGAAAAUUAUUGCCGUCUAAUGUUAUCGUUGUCCAAUGAAUUUUCGCUUAUACUGUUUGCUGAAUUAUUUUUACUACUUCUCUUAUUGCAAGAUCUGCGUGUAAAUAUCCGUGCCGUUUCAAUGAAAGGUGAACUUCUACAAUUCUAAGAAGUCAAUUCGUAUGACUGUUGGUCUUCGUACAAACAAUUAUAUUGCCCUUUUUAUAAUAUUUAAUCCGAUAUCGUCCUUUCGCUUCUAAAAAUCCAUCCAUUUUUUAAUGUUGGACGUUCAUUUUAUUUUGUCUUGCCCAGCUUGCAUGUUGUAUAUAGUAGUAUCAUAUAAAAAAAAGAUAUAUCAUGUUCUUGUUAAAUUUUGUUAUGGGUAGUAUAUGUUCAGGUUUAUUUUUCGAAAUAUUAUUUAUUAGCUUUGAUUAGUGUUGCGUCGUCGUCGAGUGAUGAUUUUGUAUAUACCGCGGGGCUUUAAAACGUUGUCAUCGUCACAAAGACAAAUGCAAUGUGGUGGAAUUAACGCGUGUUUGUUUUGUAAUUCGGCCACGAUACAACAUUAUUCUGGGCACAAGCGGUCGACGUAUUUGCCAAAAUCGUGAAACGUAUAAUUGAUUUGAAUUUGCCAAAUAAAACGUUUUUUGAUAUGUUAGCAACAACCGGCCAGUGUUAAACAUCCAUUAGAAAUAAGAUAUUACUCUGGUCCUUUUCGGAAAACCCUCCAGAUCACAAUAAAAUUCUUAGUAAUUUUAGUAUACUUGGGCCAGUGGACAGCUUGAUUAUUGAAACGUUAAAGCGAGGCUUUAAAACUAUGGAGCGUAAAGAUCUAAAUUCCAAAUAUAAAGCUGGCCUGAUCUUUUGAAAAGCCGUCUUACAUAAUAUUUUGUCCUGAGAGUAACGUCCAUAUUUGAAAAUGAUUUAGCGUUAAGUAAUUCUGAUUUUAAUUAUUAAAAAUGCAGUCCUUUUUUCCAUCCCACGAUUAACUUGGAACAUGAUUUGUUGUGAACAAAUAGCGGCGAAGGCGUCCCGAUACUUCAUUAUCGUAAUUAUUUCACCUGAUAUAUAUAAAAAUGAACUUAUUUGUUAUUAAAUGCGUACAUUGUAGUGUAACGAGUACAUUUUUGCGUAGGUUUACAAACUUUGUCGAGGGUUGAUGUUACUUCAGUUAAUUUUUGUCAAUUAAUGUGCCAACGUGUGGCGCUGCUAUUUGGUUUGUUUUAUUGUAAUUGUCAAUUGUUUUAUGUAUAUACAGAAAGCAUUUUUUCAUUAGUAUUGUCAAGUUAUUUGGUCAAUUCACACAUAAGUGCCCUUUUGUUGCUCACGGAAAUAGUUUUUGUGUUACUAUUUUAGCUUUUUACUCAUUAUAAUGCUCAAUAUUAUGGUCAUGAUAUUAGAUGAUUAAAAUUUC
Manduca sexta (tobacco hornworm) is the source of this 3230-nucleotide long non-coding RNA. RefSeq lists it as uncharacterized. The transcript has 2 exons. The record is from RefSeq and is a predicted model, not a curated record. NCBI's taxonomy places the organism in Eukaryota, Metazoa, Arthropoda, Insecta, Lepidoptera, Sphingidae.